AGAGUUAAAAAGUACGUGAAAUUGUUAAAAGGGAAACGCUUGAAAUCAGUGUUGAUUUCUGGAAAUCAAUCAGUCAGUAAUGGCUGGUGCACUUUCCAGUAAUCAGGUCAACAUCAGUUUCGGCUGGAGUAAAAUAGCGUAGGAAGGUGGCUCUCUCGGGAGCGUUAUAGCCUACGUGACUGCUCUGGCUGGGAUUGAGGACUGCAGCGUAUGCUUUUUUGCUGGUGGACCAGGUUCUAUUAGUUGUAGGUUGAAUGAAAGCUUGCUGACUAAGACAUGCAACUGAUACUUACUUGGGUAGCACAAAUACGCUUAGGAUGUUGACGAAAUGGUUUUAAUCGACC
This 344-nucleotide ribosomal RNA is filed under the name uncultured fungus. RNAcentral describes it as "eukaryotic LSU rRNA". Lineage: Eukaryota; Fungi. The record is from RNAcentral.